AUCAACAUGAACAUAUAGGAUCCCAAGUACCUACAAAAAUUCAUAUUCUGUAGUUACAAAGAACCUCACUCAAGAUAAUGGUAGCUGUUAUGAUGGUAUACCAGAAAAGGAUUUGUUUUCAUUUUUCUCUAACUUUUCUUAUUUACGUUCUAUCAGAGUCUUGCAAGUCAAACAGUAUUAUUCUCAUUUUACAGAUGAAGAAACUUGGAUCAGAUGUCAUUACAAGAGUAGAGGAGCAGGCAUUCAAACUUCAGGUCAUCUGUCUCCAUGGUUCUGAAGCCUUUAUUAUUUGACGUGUUGUGGAGAUUAUGCAAGAUACUGCACAUGAACGCAGAAUGCCUGGCACAUAGACUAGCAAUAAAAACUUUCACAGGUAACAACCAGCACCAUAUUGAAGAGACAGAUGGAAGGUCACAAAUCUCCAUGAAGGAUGCAAGACCAAAACCAUAGCUCAGACCUACUCACUCAGCAGAUCGUUUCCUUCUUGUUUCAACAUCAUCCAAAGUGGAUCCUUAAGCAGGCUAGAGCUGGACUUAGAAACCUUCAGAAUAUAAAACUUAUACCACUGGCAAGGCUGAUCUCGGGGAGGCGACCUCUGGAUGCGCCCUGUGCGAGCAAAGCCGGGAGAGCGAGCCCCAAGCACCUGGCAGCGGUGCCCCCAGCAGGCGCCGAGAGAUCCGGCUAUCCAUUUCUGGUGAACUCUGCGCCCACUGAGGCAUUCGAGGUACGGAUGUGUCCGCCUAGUACUCGGAGACGAAGGAGAGAGAGCGGGGAUAUGCGCUCCAGCUCUGCUAGGCUCCAGGGCUCUCACCCUUGCAUUCAAAGCCUCCACCCCAUCCCACUCCCCGCCACUCACCUUCUGCUUCGGCCACCCGGUGCGGCUCCAGCACCGCGCGCUCUCCCGGCACGGUUCCCGGAGAAAGUCCCCCAAUCACCAGCUACGGCACUUGUAGCCUCUGCACGCCGCUCGGCUCCGCCGGGUGGGCAGCGCCCGCCNNNNNNNNNNNNNNNNNNNNAAGCCUAGAGUGGAGUUCCCUGUAUGCUACAGGUGUGGCCACAAGACUGUGAAAAGGAAAGUAUAUUCGACUUCAAAUGUGCCAGAUAAUUUGCAUAUUUUGUCUUUUUAAUAGUCAAAACAAAUCUUCCAAGUAGAUUUUAUUAAUCCUCAUUUUACAGAUGUGGAAACAGGCUCAGAGAGGGCAAGUGCCUCAUCCACAGUUACCAACAGCAGCUUCUGAAAUUGCAUCCAGGAGUCAGAUUCGAAAGUCAUUGCGUGUCUCACAAAAUCAGAAGAAAUAUGACCAUAAGGGGUAAGAGAUUGUCCCAUGUACCAACACAUCCCCUGUAUUUAGCACAGUGGUAUUCGUUGAAUGUAUGAAUAAUAAUGACUCAAAAUAACAGUUAACAUAAAUAGCGCUUAUUAUUGCCAGGCUCUCUUCUAAGCACUAUAGAUACAUUAUCUCAUUUAAUGGUCACAAUUUAUUGUUAAAGUACUGUUAAAAAAAAAAAUCCUCAUUUUAACAGAAGGCGAAACUGAGUUACAAAGUAGAAUAAUUUGCCCAAUGUCACACAACUAAUACUUAGCAGAGGUGGGGGGGGGAUGAACACCAACAGAUUCUAAGCGUUAUACUAUAUGGAAUGAAUGGAAGAAAGACCAGAAGGCCAGAAUAAAAGGGGUCAGGAAUAAAGGAAAUCUGAAGGUUGAAUCUUCUGAGUUGUGACUCUUAGGAUAGGACAAGGUAACUGUGUCACCAGCCUCUUUCAACCAGAGUGGACUGCAAUAGCCAACAGCCACUGAAAGCCCAGGAUAUGUGUAGCUUGUAGAUAAUCUCCAGUUUUCCAGCAUCCUGUUGGGACAAUUCUAGGGGAGCAAAAAAGGAUUAUAGUAUGGAUGGGCUGGGCACGAUGGCUCACGCCAGUAAUGCCAGCAAUUUGGGAGGCCGAGGCGGGCAGAUCACGAGGUCAGAAAAUCGAGACCAUCCUGGCCAACAUAGUGAAACCCUGUCUCUACUAAAAUAGAAAAAAUUAGCCGGGCGUGGUGGCGCGUGCCUGUACUCCCAGCUACUCAGGAGGCUGAGGCAGGGGAAUCGCUUGAAGCCGGAGGCGGAGGUUGCAGUGAGCAGAGAUCGUGCCACUGCACCACUCCAGCCUGGCGACAAAGCAAGACUCCGUCCCAAAAAAAAAGAAAAAAGAAAAAAGGGAUUAGGGAUUAUAGUAUGUAUUACGACAUUUUGCUUGUAGCUCACAUAAAUACUGUGGUUGCUUGCUUUCAAAAGAGAGAUCGAUCUCCUUUAAUGACAAUUAUGUUGGUAUUUCAUUACAUUGGAUAGAAUCUAUAGUCACAUGAUUACAGGAGUUCACAAUGCUCCCUCUUUAAAAUUCUUUUUCCCCCAUAUGAUUAUAUUUGUAGCCAGUGAGGCCCAUUUGUUGGUAAACAUGACAGAUGUAUUAUGACUUCUCCUUUGCUUACUACACGGUUCUCCAGCAUGAAUAUCUCUCCUCCACUGCCCUAUUCCAUCCACACUUCAAGGACUAGUUUGUCAAGCCAAAUCUACAGGGAUGCAUCCAGUUCUUAGUACUACAUAUGCAAAAAGAAAUAAAGAGAGAAACUAAGAUGUAGAAGGAACUUGAAUUUAUGUUGACGAGGAAAAACUUAGGAACUUAGGCUAUUUAGCCAUAGGAGAAUACUGAGAGGAAACAAUAAACUAGCUUCAAAUAUUCUGAAGUUUCUAAAAAUAGAAGAAGAAUUCUAUAGUAUAUUUAAAAGGGUAAAAGCAGAACAAAUAACAAUAAUACUUUUUUGUUAGUG
RNAcentral lists this long non-coding RNA (2809 nucleotides) under Pan paniscus (pygmy chimpanzee). RNAcentral's name for it is "lncRNA (ENSPPAG00000045527.1)". Lineage: Eukaryota; Metazoa; Chordata; Mammalia; Primates; Hominidae. The record is from RNAcentral.